UUGAAUUUCCGAGCACGUCCUCUCCUCACACAGAAGGAUGGACUUUACAUCCCCUCCCCUCCCCUCCCUCCUCCCCCUCAUCAUCAUCAUCACCAUCAUCAUCACCCCCAUCAUCCCACCCCACCACCAACAGGAAGAAGAAGAAGAAGAAAAAACUUGCACACACUCUGAGAGCUCAACUGUGCAUGCACUUUUUUUCUCUGUGGUGCGUGCAGACGUUCUGGGAAAGUUGUCUCCCUCCCUUCAUCUCUCUCCCUCCUCCUCCCUCCCUCCCUGCUCCUCUUCGUCGUCUAUCAUGUGCUUGGGAUGUGCUCGUGCUUUUUGCACAGAGCAGCUGUAGCACGCCUAUAAUGCAGGCUACUCAGUGUUAGCGGCAAUUUUAAAGUGAUGUGGGCCCCCCACCCCCCUUCACCAAUUAACACGGCUGGGAUAUUUGAAGCAGGGGGGGAGAGAGACCGUGGUGCGCGGUCCACAGACACGGCAGACACGGACCACACUCGACACCGCCGUUGUCAACCUCCUCCAGCCUGGGACGUUUUGCAGUGAUUUGACUCACCCCUCGGAAUGAUGGAGACGGGGAGCUGUGGACGACUGCGGGCAGCGGGAAGUGGAGGUCAACAUGGGAUUUUGCUCUUCACUGGACCCACGUGAGGUUGGCCGGGCCCCUCAAAGACCGUGACCCAGAAAUCAAAUGGCAUAAUGACUGGAUUCUCCGCUGCUAAAGACGUCAAGGAUAUUCAGCCGAUAUGAGAGGUGACUACGUGCUUCCCUUUCAAGCAUUUGCCGUCCCUGCCCUCCUGUUAUAUGGGGCUACGUGUCAUAAAUUCCUCGCUCAAGAUCAGCAGCCUCCGCGUUCGCUCGGAAUGAUCGGAAACGCUGUGCGAAAGUGUCCGGGAGACACUUUGAGUGACAUUGCCUCUGUCAAAAGAGUGAUCGAAGAAGACAGAGAGAAAUGCUGCGCUAAUGAAAUCGUCUGACCCACAUCCUUUAGUGCUAUCCAUUUCUCCAAAGACACAGAAAGGGCAUUUAUACAGGUGCAUGAUUUGGAUGAUCGGUGAGAGAUGAGUCUGGAUGUCACCAAGAGAGGAGCUUGAUGAACUCUACACCUAAGGCUGAGAAGCUCCAGGAGCAUCAUUGUCCUGAAAUCAUUCUUAAUAAUAAUAAUGAAAUAUGUACAGUGUAUAUAUAUAUAUAUAUGGGAUAAUAUUUUUAUACGAUGCAUCAAAACUUUACAAUAUGUUAAUUGGUUUUAAGAAACUUUAUUUCCUGUAAUUGACUGAGUCUAACAAAAGCAUCUUUUGACAGCAAAAAAAAUAAAAAAUAAAAAACACGCUUUUCUGACUUUAAGUGAUGUUUUUAAGAGCGAGUUAUUUCCUGCUUUGUACCCCGGAUAAAGAACAAUGUACUUGACAUAAUUGGGUCCCGUUUAGUUGUGGAAAGAGCAUGCAUGGCAAUAUAAAGCCGACAGGGCGAUCAAAGCCACUGAUCAAACUCCCACAACUGACGCGCAUGAAAGGUGCAGGAAUCGGUAUCGUGAAGCCUCCUGAUUGAAAUCACUUACAUGCAGGGAUAUGCACCGUGCAAUCUGUACUCUGUGUCUUUACAAUGAAAUGUAACUGCGGGUGCCGAAAUAAAAACGGUGAUUAAAAAUGAGAACUGUUCUGUGCUCGUUUUCUACAUCUUGGCGGUGUUUUUAUUAUUAUGUGCAUGACAGGUAAAUGUUUUUAUGUAAAAGAUGAAAAGUACAAUCUGACUUCAGUUCUCUAAAUUCUAUUUUAAUUGUCUUUAUACAAAAAAACAGCAUACAAGACUCUCCAUGUGGGAUAGAAGGCAGAAGUCUAUGUCCCACUUUCUAUCUUCCAUCAUGCUUCAUUCUUUUUUGUCUCUCCAUUUUCCCUCACCUCCCAAUCAUAUUAAUUAUCUGUCCCUUCCUACUCAAUAUUCAUUCUCACCAGACAUCUCUCACGCUUAUACCUCAUCUUCAUUUCCUCUACCAGCAUCACUCUUCCUCUCCUUCCUUCAGCAGUCUCUCAGUCCCAUCUGUUCCCCUACCCGUCCUCCCCCACCCUUACCCGUUCCAUUGCUCCGUCUCUUGCUCUCCCUUCUCCCUUGUCUUUCUCCCCUUCUCAGAUGUCAGAUCACAGUCUAGUCUUCCGCUUGCCCUGUCAUCACAUUUUUCACACAACCCCAUCCCUUAAUUGGGCCUGUAUCAUCAUAUCAUAUCAUGUAGAAUACCUGAUCACAGCGAGAGAUGAAAGAUAGCCUCCACCUAUCCCCUCGCAGACAGACAGAGGCACUCACAGAGAAUGCGGGCUCCAACAAACACUCGUGUACGACACACGCAGCCGCACACACACACACACACACACACAAACACACACAUCAGUGGUCGUAUGGGACAGGAAUCCAAGCUGAUGGCUGUGCCUGUGCACAUUUUUACACCUCAUGUUUGCACCAAGUUGUCGAUGUGAUUGUUACAGCGUGACAGGUGAGACGGUGUGGUUUUUUUCCGAGAGUGUCCAGAGAUGUUUGUAUCAACUGCUAGUGGCUUUUGUGAUUAGACAAAAGGAUGCCCUGGAGCCAGCAGUGUCACAUCUACAGGUAAAUAAAGGGAACAUCAACAACAGAGAGAGACACACACACACACACACGCA
This is a long non-coding RNA of Solea solea (common sole), 2654 nucleotides long. RefSeq lists it as uncharacterized. The transcript is spliced from 4 exons. The record is from RefSeq and is a predicted model, not a curated record. Lineage: Eukaryota; Metazoa; Chordata; Actinopteri; Pleuronectiformes; Soleidae.